AUACGGAGGGUGCGAGCGUUAAUCGGAAUUACUGGGCGUAAAGCGCGCGUAGGCGGUCAAAUAAGUCUGAUGUGAAAGCCCUGGGCUUAACCUGGGAAUGGCAUUGGAUACUGUUUGGCUAGAGUGCAGGAGAGGAGAGUGGAAUUCCCGGUGUAUCGGUGAAUGCGUAGAUAUCGGGAGGAACACCAGUGGCGAAGGCGGCUCUCUGGACUGACACUGACGCUGAGGUGCGAAAGCGCGGGUAGCAAACAGGAUUAGAAACCCUAGUAGUCC
Molecule: ribosomal RNA, 273 nt
Filed under: uncultured bacterium
Lineage: Bacteria
Description: partial 16S ribosomal RNA
Rfam family: Bacterial small subunit ribosomal RNA
Source: RNAcentral